CAUGUGAAGCCAUGUGAGGGCAUUCAGCCAGACAGCAUGUAAUUACCCUGGCUGGAGCUGGGCCAAGCAGAGGAUCUGUGGCUCCCCAUCUGCAGGCUUAUUUCCAGCACUUCAAAUGAGAGAUUUCGACGGAACAUGCAGGAAUUAAUGAAAAAAAGUUAGUUUAUCUCUGGAUAUCUCCUCCAUCAAACCCACAUCAGACACAAAUAACUCACCUGCCCUGGACUGCCCUUCAAAGGCUCAUCUUACAAGCCCAAAUGAAAGAGCUGCUGGAGGCAAGGAGCCUUUCCUGUUCAUUCAGACCUGAGAUGACCCUAAGUGAGAGAUCGUAGCAGCAUAGUCUAAUGGAGAAGAAAAAUGGCAAUGAGGAAAGGACAACAUUUGGACAGAGUAAAUGUAUAAGGUCUCUGCGAGUCUCCCAUUCAAACAAGCACAAGAACAGAAGAUUUGGCACCAACCAAAACUGGAUUGGAGAGUUGGAGCCACCUUUUCAGAUAAAGGCUGGCAAAGCACUUUCCCAGGGGGUUUUUCUCCUUGGAGCACAUCUCAGUGAGGCUUCCUAAUGCUCAGUAAAGCAAGGAUCAUCUGGAAGAUGGCUGUUUCUCCAAAGAGAGGAGAAAACAUCCUUUCUGGCAGUACCCCAGCAAACUCAGAUGCUGUCACAGCAGAACAGAUGGAGGCUCUGCCAGAGAAGGAAUCCUGUUUCUGAGUUGCAUGAGCAUGGCAGUGUGGGCAAAGCCUUGGCUGCUGGGCACAGUGAUGUUCCAGUGCCUUUGGAGACAUACAGCAAAUUAUAACUGUUGGGAGCCUGGCUUUGCUGUGAGUGUUUCAGUUGUCAAAUGUAUUUGCUUUCCUUCCCUUUUUCCUCUCCUCUGGUGUCUCUGCUGACAGCAACAGGUUUCUUUCAGAAUUUAU
This is a long non-coding RNA of Oenanthe melanoleuca, 915 nucleotides long. RefSeq lists it as uncharacterized. The record is from RefSeq and is a predicted model, not a curated record. The transcript is spliced from 3 exons. NCBI's taxonomy places the organism in Eukaryota, Metazoa, Chordata, Aves, Passeriformes, Muscicapidae.